Molecule: long non-coding RNA, 215 nt
Filed under: Phoenix dactylifera (date palm)
Lineage: Eukaryota; Viridiplantae; Streptophyta; Magnoliopsida; Arecales; Arecaceae
Description: long non-coding RNA (PDAC_LNC000782)
Source: RNAcentral
CAGAAUUGGAGCUAGAAUGGAUUAGAAUGGAAAUCGAAAUGGUCAUAUUUUGUGACUCAUUUGAUUCAUGACGGAAAUCGAAAUGCGAUCUCAAUAGUACGAGAGAAUCAAGAUUGGGUUUCGAGGGAUUAGAGCAUCCACAUUCUCUUCUAGAAUCAAAAUGGAAAUAAAACUUUCUCCAACUAAAUGGCUGGAAUUGGGAGCCUCUCAUUCCC